AUUCCCUUASUAACUGCGAGUGAACCGGGAUGAGCUCAAAUUUAAAAUCUGGCGGUUUUGCCGUCCGAGUUGUAWUCUGGAGAAGCGUUUUCCGCGUCGGACCGUGUACAAGUCUCUUGGAAUAGAGCGUCAUAGAGGGUGAGAAUCCCGUCCAUGACACGGACUCCCGGUGCUUUGUGAUACGCUCUCAAAGAGUCGAGUUGUUUGGGAAUGCAGCUCAAAAUGGGUGGUAAAUUCCAUCUAAAGCUAAAUAUUGGCGAGAGACCGAUAGCGAACAAGUACCGUGAGGGAAAGAUGAAAAGCACUUUGGAAAGAGAGUUAAACAGUACGUGAAAUUGUUGAAAGGGAAACGCUUGAAGUCAGUCGCGUCGUACGGAGCUCAGCCUUGCUUCUGCUUGGUGUAUUCUCCGUGUCGACGGGUCAACAUCAAUUUUGACCGGUGGAAAAGGGCUUAGGGAAUGUAGCGUUGUUUCGGCGACGUGUUAUAGCCCUAGGUCGUAUGCAUCGGUUGGGAUUGAGGACCGCAGCACGCCCUUGUGGCCGAGGGUUCGCCCUACGUUCGUGCUUAGGAUGUUGGCAAAAUGGCUUUAAGCGACCCGUCUUGAAACACGGACCAAGGAGUCUAACAUGCCUGCGAGUGUUCGGGUGGAAAACCCUUGCGCGUAAUGAAAGUGAAAGUUGGGAUCCUUCGCAAGGAGGUGCACCGACGCCCGGCCCUGACGUUCUCUGACGGUGCUGCGGUAGAGCAUGUAUGUUGGGACCCGAAAGAUGGUGAACUAUGCCUGAAUAGGGUGAAGCCAGAGGAAACUCUGGUGGAGGCUCGUAGCGAUUCUGACGUGCAAAUCGAUCGUCAAAUUUGGG
This 861-nucleotide ribosomal RNA is filed under the name Hymenochaete nothofagicola. RNAcentral describes it as "eukaryotic LSU rRNA". It matches the Rfam family "Eukaryotic large subunit ribosomal RNA", at positions 74 to 915 of the family's 3401-position model. The record is from RNAcentral. Lineage: Eukaryota; Fungi; Basidiomycota; Agaricomycetes; Hymenochaetales; Hymenochaetaceae.